AUUUGCAGUGAUGGUAGUUUUAUAGCAGCUUAGUUGUUACAGCUCAUAGUAUUAGAGCGGCUUCCAACUGAAAGAAAAAGAAACAUUGAAGCAAGUGGAAAAGCUUUGUGCAUCGUAGAGCCUGAGAAAAAAAGCCAAGAACAAGAAGGAGACCAAGCGUGGAGCAAUGAUAUCGGCACCAUCGGUGUCAUCAUCAGCAAGCAAAGAACAACUUUAGAAAGAAAAGGCAGACUGAAUCUAAAUUGCUCCUCUGUACACCUGUAACUUAUUUUAUCUAAUUAUACCUGCGCUGACUCCAUUUUGUGUACAGCUAUAGUCAGCGAAACAACUGGAUCUUUUGGGAACUGGAGAUUAUCGUUCUCAUCAAUAGUGCUAUCUCCUACAAUUGAGGACCUGUCCAUCCAAGCCAGCCAGUUAAUUUUGGGUACGAUUAUGGGGCAAUCCUACCAAAAUUUUGCUGCCAGACUUGGAUGGAGUAUUUUUAUCAUUCAUGUCUACGAUUAUACAUCAGUAAUUCCCACAAGAAACUAAAAGAAUCAAGUC
This is a long non-coding RNA of Rosa rugosa (rugosa rose), 543 nucleotides long. RefSeq lists it as uncharacterized. NCBI's taxonomy places the organism in Eukaryota, Viridiplantae, Streptophyta, Magnoliopsida, Rosales, Rosaceae. The record is from RefSeq and is a predicted model, not a curated record. The transcript is spliced from 3 exons.